This 1254-nucleotide ribosomal RNA is filed under the name metagenome. Its description in RNAcentral is "bacterial LSU rRNA". It matches the Rfam family "Bacterial large subunit ribosomal RNA", at positions 1634 to 2880 of the family's 2925-position model. The record is from RNAcentral.
AUAUACGACCGUACCGCAAACCGACACUGGUGCGCGAGAUGAGUAUUCUAAGGCGCUUGAGAGAACUCAGGAGAAGGAACUCGGCAAAUUGACACCGUAACUUCGGAAGAAGGUGUGCCCUAUUAGUGUGUAGUGAACAACGAAGCAUGAAUGGGUUGCAAAAAAUCGGUGGCUGCGACUGUUUAUUAAAAACACAGCACUCUGCAAACACGAAAGUGGACGUAUAGGGUGUGACGCCUGCCCGGUGCUGGAAGAUUAAAUGAUGGGGUGCAAGCUCUUGAUUGAAGUCCCAGUAAACGGCGGCCGUAACUAUAACGGUCCUAAGGUAGCGAAAUUCCUUGUCGGGUAAGUUCCGACCUGCACGAAUGGCGUAACGAUGGCCACACUGUCUCCUCCUGAGACUCAGCGAAGUUGAAAUGUUUGUGAUGAUGCAAUCUCCCCGCGGAAAGACGGAAAGACCCCAUGAACCUUUACUGUAGCUUUGUAUUGGACUUUGAACAGAUCUGUGUAGGAUAGGUGGGAGGCUUUGAAGCAGGGUCGCUAGAUCUUGUGGAGCCAACGUUGAAAUACCACCCUGGUGUGUUUGAGGUUCUAACCUAGGUCCAUUAUCUGGAUCGGGGACAGUGCAUGGUAGGCAGUUUGACUGGGGCGGUCUCCUCCCAAAGCGUAACGGAGGAGUUCGAAGGUACGCUAGUUACGGUCGGACAUCGUGACGAUAGUGCAAUGGCAUAAGCGUGCUUAACUGCGAGACUGACAAGUCGAGCAGAUGCGAAAGCAGGACAUAGUGAUCCGGUGGUUCUGUAUGGAAGGGCCAUCGCUCAACGGAUAAAAGGUACUCUGGGGAUAACAGGCUGAUACCGCCCAAGAGUUCAUAUCGACGGCGGUGUUUGGCACCUCGAUGUCGGCUCAUCUCAUCCUGGGGCUGUAGCCGGUCCCAAGGGUAUGGCUGUUCGCCAUUUAAAGAGGUACGUGAGCUGGGUUUAAAACGUCGUGAGACAGUUUGGUCCCUAUCUUCCGUGGGCGCUGCAGAUUUGAGGAAGCCUGCUCCUAGUACGAGAGGACCGGAGUGGACACACCUCUGGUGUAUCGGUUGUCACGCCAGUGGCAUUGCCGAGUAGCUAAGUGUGGAAGAGAUAACCGCUGAAAGCAUCUAAGCGGGAAACUCGUUUCAAGAUGAGAUCUGCCGGGGCCUUGAGCCCCCUAAAGAGUCGUUCAAGACCAGGACGUUGAUAGGUCAGGUGUGGAAGCCAAAGG